GCGGACCUAAAAGUGAGAAGGCAGGCCUGGGUUCAAGCGGACCUGGAAGGAAGACGGCAGGCUGGAGCUCAAGCGGACUGGAAAGGGCUCUUCGGUGUGGAAAAAUGAAUUCUGCUGAGGAAAUAAGCUGUGCGUUUUAGGACAAGGUGGCACCCAUCGGGAGAAAACAAGCAUAACUCCAACAGCUCACUCCUGGCAGAGUGCCGCGCAACAUUGUAGAGGUUGUCACUGAUUCCAUGUCCAGAGACUGCGCAGAAAGCACUAAGGAAAACUGAGUGCUUACAUCCCAA
Molecule: long non-coding RNA, 290 nt
Organism: Pristis pectinata (smalltooth sawfish)
Lineage: Eukaryota; Metazoa; Chordata; Chondrichthyes; Rhinopristiformes; Pristidae
Exons: 3
Source: RefSeq, a predicted model, not a curated record